AAGUCGUAACAAGGUUUCCGUAGGUGAACCUGCGGAAGGAUCAUUAUUGAAAUAAACCUGAUGGGUUGUUGCUGGUUCUCUAGGGAGCAUGUGCACACCUUGUCAUCUUUAUAUCUCCACAUGUGCACUUUUUGUAGACCUUUCAGGUCUAUGUUGCUUCAUUUACCCCAAUGUAUGUUAAUAGAAUGUUGUGACUAUAUAAUAUAUACAACUUUCAGCAACGGAUCUCUUGGCUCUC
This 238-nucleotide unclassified non-coding RNA is filed under the name Cortinarius sp. Its description in RNAcentral is "partial internal transcribed spacer region". The stretch from base 1 to 46 matches the Rfam family "Eukaryotic small subunit ribosomal RNA", at positions 1786 to 1831 of the family's 1831-position model. The record is from RNAcentral. Lineage: Eukaryota; Fungi; Basidiomycota; Agaricomycetes; Agaricales; Cortinariaceae.